RNAcentral lists this ribosomal RNA (1083 nucleotides) under Trichocomaceae sp. RNAcentral's name for it is "eukaryotic LSU rRNA". The stretch from base 489 to 1083 matches the Rfam family "Eukaryotic large subunit ribosomal RNA", at positions 1 to 599 of the family's 3401-position model. The record is from RNAcentral. Lineage: Eukaryota; Fungi; Ascomycota; Eurotiomycetes; Eurotiales; Trichocomaceae.
CGAGUGAGGGCCCUCUGGGUCCACCUCCCACCCGUGUUUAUCGUCCCUUGUUGCUUCGGCGGGCCCGCCGCAAGGCCGCCGGGGGGCUUCCGUCCCCGGGCCCGCGCCCGCCGAAGACACCUGUGAACGCUGUAUGAAGAUUGCAGUCUGAGCGAAAAGCUAAAUUUGUUAAAACUUUCAACAACGGAUCUCUUGGUUCCGGCAUCGAUGAAGAACGCAGCGAAAUGCGAUAAGUAAUGUGAAUUGCAGAAUUCAGUGAAUCAUCGAGUCUUUGAACGCACAUUGCGCCCCCUGGUAUUCCGGGGGGCAUGCCUGUCCGAGCGUCAUUGCUGCCCUCAAGCACGGCUUGUGUGUUGGGCCCUCGUCCCCCGGGACGGGCCCGAAAGGCAGCGGCGGCACCGCGUCCGGUCCUCGAGCGUAUGGGGCUUCGUCACCCGCUCUGUAGGCCCGGCCGGCGUCUGCCGACACCAUCAAUCUUUUUUCCAGGUUGACCUCGGAUCAGGUAGGGAUACCCGCUGAACUUAAGCAUAUCAAUAAGCGGAGGAAAAGAAACCAACAGGGAUUGCCUCAGUAACGGCGAGUGAAGCGGCAAGAGCUCAAAUUUGAAAGCUGGCUCCUUCGGGGUCCGCAUUGUAAUUUGCAGAGGAUGCUUCGGGAGCGGCCCCCAUCUAAGUGCCCUGGAACGGGCCGUCAUAGAGGGUGAGAAUCCCGUCUGGGAUGGGGUGCCCGCGACCAUGUGAAGCUCCUUCGACGAGUCGAGUUGUUUGGGAAUGCAGCUCUAAAUGGGUGGUAAAUUUCAUCUAAAGCUAAAUAUUGGCCGGAGACCGAUAGCGCACAAGUAGAGUGAUCGAAAGAUGAAAAGCACUUUGAAAAGAGAGUUAAAAAGCACGUGAAAUUGUUGAAAGGGAAGCGCUUGCGACUAGACUCGCCCACGGGGUAACAGCCGCUAUUCGUAGCGGUGCACUUCCCCGUGGUCGGGCCAGCGUCGGUUUGGGCGGCCGGUCAAAGGCCCUCGGAAUGUAACGCCUCUCGGGGCGUCUUAUAGCCGGGGGUGCCAUGCGGCCAGCCCAGACCGAGGAUCGC